UUUUUUGUUUACUUGGAUUCAGAGACAAACAGCAAGCCCUGCUGUGCCAAUACAAGAGAAUAACCAAAGAGAAAAGAGCUCAAUGGGAAGAUCCCCUGAAAUUCCAUGGUUACCCAUCUCAAAACAUUCAAUCGUUGCAAUCGAAUCCAGAACUUUCAAAAUUGAUCAUUGCUUAACGACGCUAAAGACUAAUAAUUGAGUUUUGAUAUACUGCGAAUGAAUUUUUGCCUGGGGAAGACUCGAUCAAGAAGCCUGAGAUCCCCUAAAAUUUCAUAUCGAAAUCAACAUCUCUGAAGUGGGUUUUGCACGAAUCAGGUGGAAGGAGGAGGAAAAUUUAAUGGGAUGCGAGGAAGAGAAGAGAUGUAUCAAAAUAGAGAGAAAGAAAAUAGUGUAACUGAUUAGCAUAUUUAGUGACUUACGGCUAG
Molecule: long non-coding RNA, 425 nt
Filed under: Nicotiana benthamiana
Lineage: Eukaryota; Viridiplantae; Streptophyta; Magnoliopsida; Solanales; Solanaceae
Description: long non-coding RNA (NBEN_LNC024179)
Source: RNAcentral